AAAUUGAAGAGUUUGAUCAUGGCUCAGAUUGAACGCUGGCGGCAGGCCUAACACAUGCAAGUCGAACGGUAACAGGAAGCAGCUUGCUGCUUUGCUGACGAGUGGCGGACGGGUGAGUAAUGUCUGGGAAACUGCCUGAUGGAGGGGGAUAACUACUGGAAACGGUAGCUAAUACCGCAUAACGUCGCAAGACCAAAGAGGGGGACCUUCGGGCCUCUUGCCAUCGGAUGUGCCCAGAUGGGAUUAGCUAGUAGGUGGGGUAACGGCUCACCUAGGCGACGAUCCCUAGCUGGUCUGAGAGGAUGACCAGCCACACUGGAACUGAGACACGGUCCAGACUCCUACGGGAGGCAGCAGUGGGGAAUAUUGCACAAUGGGCGCAAGCCUGAUGCAGCCAUGCCGCGUGUAUGAAGAAGGCCUUCGGGUUGUAAAGUACUUUCAGCGGGGAGGAAGGGAGUAAAGUUAAUACCUUUGCUCAUUGACGUUACCCGCAGAAGAAGCACCGGCUAACUCCGUGCCAGCAGCCGCGGUAAUACGGAGGGUGCAAGCGUUAAUCGGAAUUACUGGGCGUAAAGCGCACGCAGGCGGUUUGUUAAGUCAGAUGUGAAAUCCCCGGGCUCAACCUGGGAACUGCAUCU
This 638-nucleotide ribosomal RNA is filed under the name Escherichia coli. Its description in RNAcentral is "bacterial SSU rRNA". It matches the Rfam family "Bacterial small subunit ribosomal RNA", at positions 1 to 628 of the family's 1533-position model. Lineage: Bacteria; Pseudomonadati; Pseudomonadota; Gammaproteobacteria; Enterobacterales; Enterobacteriaceae. The record is from RNAcentral.